RNAcentral lists this microRNA precursor (91 nucleotides) under Canis lupus familiaris (dog). RNAcentral's name for it is "mir-8799 microRNA precursor family". It matches the Rfam family "mir-8799 microRNA precursor family". The record is from Rfam by way of RNAcentral. Lineage: Eukaryota; Metazoa; Chordata; Mammalia; Carnivora; Canidae. RNAcentral also lists the same sequence under 1 other name.
GGGGGGAGGCCGGAUCCUGGGCUGUGUCCCCAGAGCCCUGUGCUCCCGGGCCUGCACUGUUCGAUUCGCGCUCCCGACCGCCCAGCCCCCU